AUUGAACGCUGGCGGCAGGCCUAACACAUGCAAGUCGAACGAGUGGCGGACGGGUGAGUAAUAUCUGGGAAACUGCCUGCUGGAGGGGGAUAACUACUAGAAACGGUAGCUAAUACCGCAUACCCUCAGAUCUGACCAGAUGGGAUUAGCUAGUAGGUGGGGUAAUGGCUCACCUAGGCGACGAUACCUAGCUGGUCUGAGAGGAUGACCAGCCACACUGGAACUGAGACACGGUCCAGACUCCUACGGGAGGCAGCAGUGGGGAAUAUUGCACAAUGGGCGCAAGCCUGAUGCAGCCAUGCCGCGUGUGUGAAGAAGGCCUUCGGGUUGUAAAGCACCUUCAGCGAGGAGGCGUUACUCGCAGAAGAAGCACCGGCUAACUCCGUGCCAGCCGCCGCGGUAAUAC
This 406-nucleotide ribosomal RNA is filed under the name uncultured bacterium. RNAcentral's name for it is "partial 16S ribosomal RNA". It matches the Rfam family "Bacterial small subunit ribosomal RNA", at positions 30 to 526 of the family's 1533-position model. The record is from RNAcentral.